CAGGAGGCUGGGAUAUGGAAGUCCUUCUUCCCAGUGUGAAAACGCCAAACAGAAGGACAGGAGGAAGCAUCACGUGCAGAAUGUGAGUCCAUUGCUCCAGUUGUCUGUGUGUUACCUAUGAAUGCAGGUCCACAGUUCAAAGGCAGGAAGCUUCAUCACUUUGAAGAGUCUCUUAUCAACUGGAAGGCAUGGCCCAAAGGACACCAGGAAAAAAGUCUAUCUGAGAUUGUUGUUGUUUUCCAGUGUACAGGAAAAUACGCUUUUCUGUUUCAAUACAUCUGCAUCAUAAUCAUGGCAACUGAAGGUAGGUUUCAAGGGACUUUUGGUAACCAUGCAACUUUGACAGCAAAAGUUUAGCACAAUUUAAUAUGUCUGAUAAAAGUUGAUAAAUAUCCUUUGGUUGAUUACUCUUUAUUCACUAAGCAUAAUUCAUCAAGGUACUUGUGCUACCAGGAUCCAAACACGCAUUUCAAGAGAUGUCUGUGAUGCUUCUGGAUGUGUCAUUUUUUUUUUUACUCAUUUGUAAAUCACUUGUAAUUAAUUAGUCCCCUCCAAUUCUCUUUCUCUGAGAUUAAACAAGUCCUCCUGU
Molecule: long non-coding RNA, 589 nt
Organism: Columba livia (rock pigeon)
Lineage: Eukaryota; Metazoa; Chordata; Aves; Columbiformes; Columbidae
Exons: 3
Source: RefSeq, a predicted model, not a curated record